RNAcentral lists this long non-coding RNA (1967 nucleotides) under Oreochromis niloticus (Nile tilapia). RNAcentral describes it as "lncRNA (ENSONIG00000039192.1)". The record is from RNAcentral. Lineage: Eukaryota; Metazoa; Chordata; Actinopteri; Cichliformes; Cichlidae.
AUGCUUUUACGACGGUCCUGCCGUAUCACGAGUCCGAGGAGCACUAGGCAUGUUUUUCUCCAUGAGUGCGGGGGAAUAGCGAUCUCCAGCCGUGUGCGUUCCUGUGCAAAAAACCACACGUCUGUCCCCUCUCCUACCCUUGUUAAAUAUGCCUACUGCUGUACUGUUGGGCUGCUGUUAACUUCCAUUAAAGUAUAUCCGGACAUCACUCUCUGUGCCCCACUCUCUGACCGGAGUUUUAAGUCCUGAGGGAGCUAUCAUCCCAGCAUCCCAGAGAUAACUCUCUAACAGUUAUGGUAGAGGCUGUGCCAACGAGUAAAGCGUCUGUUUUGGAGGAGAACCAUGAUCUAAUCUCCAUAAGACAGUUUGAGAGGAAGGUAGGUGGAAGAGCUGAAUUAGGUUUGGAGGAAAUGUAGAGCUGGGUCUCAUCAGCAUAACAAUGAAAAUUGAUAUUAUAUUUUCGGAACAUAUGGCCAAGAGGGAGCAUGUCUGGCAGAUUUAGGCCCCUCAUCCUCAACCACAAAUGGCUGGGGAUGAAGGGAAGAAGACAGGACAAAGACGGGCUGUGGAAGAGACCAAACUGUGAGUUACCCCCUUAAUGUAUACCCAGUGUUUGGACUCUUACUGUGAAAAUGAUGUGAAACCAACAGAUGACAGUAAAAUAGACAAAAAUGUGUAUUACUCUCCAUCACAGAACAGCUGCCAGUGGGAUAAAUGUGUCUGAGUUUAAGGCUUUGUGCUUUGAAAAUGUGUGUAAUUUGAUUCUAAAUCAGCUGAUAGCUUUGAAAAUACAACAGCAGCUACUAUUAAAGGAUUAAUGAGUCAAAAAAGGAAAUUCUACAGAGCUUUGUGAGUAUUUGAGCAUUUCUCCCACUUAAACACUGAUCAGGCACAAAACUAAAGCUCAGAAUAUCAUUUCUGCAGCACACCCUGACAGCGGGUGACUCCCCAGGCCUCUGAGGAUCCAAAUUCCAUUCCAGCCAUACAUUUGACAGUUAAAUGAUGUAGUUUUGAUUUAUUAAGUCUAUAUAUUUGGCUUCAGUAAAUCCAAUAGUUUAUAUUAAUUUACUCAGCAUCAAUCAAACACCUCAGAGCAACAAAAUGUUGGUAAAGCCAAACACCUGGCUGUUCCCAGUAUCGCUCUCUGUUCUGUGGAGGGCUGAAUCAGAACUGAAUAACAUGAACACAGUUUGUGAGCAACAAAAACUGUAGAAAAAUCGCCACAUGUAGAAUUUCACUCACUCCAUUUGGAAAGUUCUUUUGAAACAAGUUAAAAUCGGUCUUUGACUCAGUGUCCAAUUAAAUCAAUGUAAUGUAACAGACACGCAUUUUAUUCUACAUGCCUCAAUGCUAUACUUUUAUGAAUGUUAUAAAAAUCUUAACUCUAGCGACUUUUAUACACAGACUUUCCAUCCAGUGCUGCGAAAUUAAAUACAUUCAUUUUUUACAGCCUAUAUUAAAACAUACCAUUUAAAGGUAACCGACAUUAUGUUGUAAAAAAAAAAAAAAAUCAGUGCUGUCAAAGUAAACCCAUACGACAAGAAAGUACGUACAGUACUGUGUGAAAAUCUUGAACCACACUUAGUUUCUUUAUAUUUUGCUUCUGAGCAUCCAGACUUUCUUUUAAUGUUUAAAAGCGAUCUUGAGCAAUAGUUUUCCAGGCUUUCUGAAGGUCUUUCAAAGUUGUUUAUGUAUUGGUUGCUUUUUCACUCAAUUUCAGUCCCUGGGCUCAACCAGUGUUGCACCCAUAACAGACAACUUAGCAAAGAACCAAUUUUUACCUGCUUUGUACCAACAGUAAGUUCAGACUGUGUUGAAGAAUGAAGUUUCUCAUACCAAAUGUUGACUUUCAAGGUCAUUAGACUUGUACAAACUCUGUUUACUGUAUUUCCAUGUAUGCUUGCUCACUGUAAAAAAUCAUUGCACCCAUUUCCAUAGCAAAAACAAAUAAAUGGGUGGUGCAAGAC